Molecule: transfer RNA, 68 nt
Filed under: Dosinia altior
Lineage: Eukaryota; Metazoa; Mollusca; Bivalvia; Venerida; Veneridae
Description: tRNA-Asp
Rfam family: tRNA
About the family: Transfer RNA (tRNA) molecules are approximately 80 nucleotides in length.
Source: RNAcentral
AGGUAAAGUGGUUUAAAAUAAAAAUGUAAGAUUGUCAUUCUUGAGAUACAUAUUAAUGUUUUUACUUU